CCUACGGGUGGCAGCAGUGGGGAAUCUUGCGCAAUGGGCGAAAGCCUGACGCAGCAACGCCGCGUGGGUGAUGAAGGUCUUCGGAUUGUAAAACCCUGUCGUUAGGGACGAAGACAUAAAUCCUAAUACGAUUUAUGUUUGACGGUACCUAGAAAGGAAGCCCCGGCUAACUCUGUGCCAGCAGCCGCGGUAAUACAGAGGGGGCAAGCGUUAUUCGGAAUUAUUGGGCGUAAAGGGUGCGUAGGCGGUUUUUUAAGUCAGAUGUGUAAUCCCCGAGCUCAACUUGGGAACUGCAUCUGAAACUGGAAAACUAGAGUGCUGGAGAGGAUGGUGGAAUUCCACGUGUAGCGGUGAAAUGCGUAGAGAUGUGGAGGAACACCAGUGGCGAAGGCGGCCAUCUGGACAGUAACUGACGCUGAAGCACGAAAGUGUGGGUAGCAAACAGGAUUAGAUACCCUAGUAGUC
This 465-nucleotide ribosomal RNA is filed under the name uncultured bacterium. Its description in RNAcentral is "bacterial SSU rRNA". It matches the Rfam family "Bacterial small subunit ribosomal RNA", at positions 338 to 795 of the family's 1533-position model. The record is from RNAcentral.